CUGAGAAACGGCUACCACAUCCAAGGAAGGCAGCAGGCACGCAAAUUACCCAAUCCCGACCCUACGGGGAGGUAGUGACAAUAAAUAACAAUACGGGGCUCUUUCGGGUCUCGUAAUUGGAAUGAGUACAAUUUAAAUCCCUUAACGAGGAACAAUUGGAGGGCAAGUCUGGUGCCAGCAGCCGCGGUAAUUCCAGCUCCGCUAAUAGCGUAUAUUAAAGUUGUUGCAGUUAAAAAGCUCGUAGUUGAAUUUCGGGAUUGACACAUCGGUCGUGCCUUAAGGGGUAUGAACUGGUGUAGUCAAUUUCUCACCUUCUGGAGAACCGCAAUGCCCUUAAUUGGGUGUCGCGGGGAACCAGGACCUUUACUUUGAAAAAAUUAGAGUGUUUAAAGCAGGCAUUUUGCUUGAAUACAUUAGCAUGGAAUAAUAAAAUAGGACGGCAUGAUUCUAUUUUGUUGGUUUCUAGGAUCACCGUAAUGAUUAAUAGGGAUAGUUGGGGGCAUUAGUAUUCAAUUGUCAGAGGUGAAAUUCUUGGAUUUAUUGAAGACUAACUACUGCGAAAGCAUUUGCCAAGGAUGUUUUCAUUAAUCAAGAACGAAAG
Molecule: ribosomal RNA, 601 nt
Filed under: uncultured Entrophospora
Lineage: Eukaryota; Fungi; Glomeromycota; Glomeromycetes; Entrophosporales; Entrophosporaceae
Description: SSU rRNA
Rfam family: Eukaryotic small subunit ribosomal RNA
Source: RNAcentral